Molecule: ribosomal RNA, 426 nt
Filed under: uncultured prokaryote
Description: bacterial SSU rRNA
Rfam family: Bacterial small subunit ribosomal RNA
Source: RNAcentral
UGGGGAAUCUUGCGCAAUGGGCGAAAGCCUGACGCAGCGACGCCGCGUGAGUGAUGAAGGCCUUCGGGUUGUAAAGCUCUGUGGGGCGAGACGAAUAAGUGCAGCCUAAUACGUUGCAUGAUGACGGUAUCGCCUUAGCAAGCACCGGCUAACUCUGUGCCAGCAGCCGCGGUAAGACAGAGGGUGCAAACGUUGUUCGGAAUUACUGGGCGUAAAGCGAGUGUAGGCGGUCUCCUAAGUCGGGUGUGAAAGCCCCGGGCUCAACCCGGGAAGUGCACGCGAAACUGGGAGGCUAGAGUAUCGGAGAGGUUGGUGGAAUUCUCGGUGUAGAGGUGAAAUUCGUAGAUAUCGAGAGGAACACCGGUGGCGAAGGCGGCCAACUGGACGAAUACUGACGCUGAGACUCGAAAGCGUGGGGAGCAAACA